GGGUAAAGGCCUACCAAGACUAUGAUGUGUAGCUGGACUGAGAGGUUGAACAGCCACAUUGGGACUGAGACACGGCCCAAACUCCUACGGGAGGCAGCAGUAGGGAAUUUUCGGCAAUGGAGGAAACUCUGACCGAGCAACGCCGCGUGAACGAUGAAGUACCUCGGUAUGUAAAGUUCUUUUAUUAAGGAAGAAAAAAGAGUGGAAAAACUCCCUUGACGGUACUUAAUGAAUAAGCCCCGGCUAAUUAUGUGCCAGCAGCCGCGGUAAUACAUAAGGGGCGAGCGUUAUCCGGAAUUAUUGGGCGUAAAGGGUGCGUAGGCGGUUUAAUAAGUCUAUAGUUUAAUUUCAGUGCUUAACGCUGUUGUGCUAUAGAAACUGUUUUACUAGAGUGAGUUAGAGGCAAGCGGAAUUCCAUGUGUAGCGGUAAAAUGCGUAAAUAUAUGGAGGAACACCAGAGGCGUAGGCGGCUUGCUGGGACUUUACUGACGCUGAGGCACGAAAGCGUGGGGAGCAAACAGGAUUAGAUACCCUGGUAGUCCACACCGUAAACGAUGAGUACUAAGUGUCGGGUAAAACCGGUACUGAAGUUAACACAUUAAGUACUCCGCCUGAGUAGUACGUACGCAAGUAUGAAACUUAAAGGAAUUGACGGGACUCCGCACAAGCGGUGGAUCAUGUUGUUUAAUUCGAAGAUACACGAAAAACCUUACCAGGUCUUGACAUUUUCUUGCGAAGUUAUAGAAAUAUAAUGGAGGUUAUCAGGAAAACAGGUGGUGCAUGGUUGUCGUCAGCUCGUGUCGUGAGAUGUUAGGUUAAGUCCUAAAACGAGCGCAACCCUUGUCGUUAAUUGCCAGCAUGUAAUGAUGGGGACUUUAACGAGACUGCCAAUGAAAAAUUGGAGGAAGGUGGGGAUUACGUCAAAUCAUCAUGCCCCUUAUGAUCUGGGCUACAAACGUGAUACAAUGGUUGAUACAAAGAGUAGCUGAAACGCGAGUUCUUAGCCAAUCUCACAAAAUCAAUCUCAGU
RNAcentral lists this ribosomal RNA (1029 nucleotides) under Cassava frogskin disease phytoplasma. Its description in RNAcentral is "bacterial SSU rRNA". It matches the Rfam family "Bacterial small subunit ribosomal RNA", at positions 255 to 1292 of the family's 1533-position model. The record is from RNAcentral. Lineage: Bacteria; Bacillati; Mycoplasmatota; Mollicutes; Acholeplasmatales; Acholeplasmataceae.